This 364-nucleotide ribosomal RNA is filed under the name uncultured bacterium. RNAcentral describes it as "partial 16S ribosomal RNA". It matches the Rfam family "Bacterial small subunit ribosomal RNA", at positions 338 to 699 of the family's 1533-position model. The record is from RNAcentral.
CCUACGGGAGGCAGCAGUGAGGAAUAUUGGGCAAUGGGGGCGAGCCGGAACCAGCCAAGUAGCGUGAAGGAUGAAGGGCCUACGGGUGGUAAACUUCAUUUAUAAAGGAAUAAAGUGCGGCACGUGUGCCUUUUUGCAUGUACCUUAUGAAUAAGGAUCGGCUAACUCCGUGCCAGCAGCCGCGGUAAUACGGAGGAACCGAGCGUUAUCCGGAUUUAUUGGGUUUAAAGGGAGCGUAGAUGGGUUGUUAAGUCAGUUGUGAAAGUUUGCGGCUCAACCGUAAAAUUGCACUUGAGACUGGCAGCCUUGAGUACAGUUGAGGUAGGCGGAAUUCGUGGUGUAGCGGUGAAAUGCUUAGAUAUCA